GAGGACUACUGGGGUAUCUAAUCCUGUUUGAUCCCCAUGCUUUCGAGCCUCAGCGUCAAUAUACAGCCAGAUAGUCGCCUUCGCCACUGGUGUUCUACCCAAUAUCUACGAAUUUCACCUCUACACUGGGUAUUCCACUAUCCUCUCUGUAAUUCUAGCCACAUAGUCAUAAUGGCAAUUCCAAAGUUAAGCUCUGGGAUUUCACCACUAUCUUACAUAACCGCCUACACUCCCUUUACGCCCAGUAAUUCCGAACAACGCUUGCCCCCUUCGUAUUACCGCGGCUGCUGGCACGAAGUUAGCCGGGGCUUCUUUAGGUGCUACCGUCAUCAUCGUCACACCCGAAAGAGCUUUACAAUCCGAAAACCUUCUUCACUCACGCGGCAUGGCUGGGUCAGAG
This 400-nucleotide unclassified non-coding RNA is filed under the name uncultured fungus. RNAcentral describes it as "sequence contains ITS1". Lineage: Eukaryota; Fungi. The record is from RNAcentral.